This 146-nucleotide ribosomal RNA is filed under the name uncultured bacterium. RNAcentral describes it as "partial 16S ribosomal RNA". It matches the Rfam family "Bacterial small subunit ribosomal RNA", at positions 385 to 524 of the family's 1533-position model. The record is from RNAcentral.
GAUGGAGCACGCCGCGUGUGUGAUGAAGGGUUUCGGCUCGUAAAACACUGUUGUAAGAGAAGAAUGACAUUGAGAGUAACUGUUCAAUGUGUGACGGUAUCUUACCAGAAAGGAACGGCUAAAUACGUGCCAGCAGCCGCGGUAAU